AUUUUUCAGAGUUUCAAAAGCAUCCAUCAUUAAAAUAAUACCAGAAGUGUGUGCUGCUAUCAAUGAAAGUCUAAAAGAUUAUAUCAAAAUACCGAAUGUGGAAGAAUAGCAAGAUAUCCAAAUAGGAUUCGCUUCGAGGUGGAAUUUCCCUAAUUGUUGUGGCUCUAUCGAUGGGAAGCAUAUAACAAUUCAAGCACCACCAAAUUGUGGCAGUGAAUAUUAUAACUACAAAGGAAAAAAUAGUAUAGUGCUCAUGGCUGUUGUGGAUCACGAUUAUACUUUCAGAUAUGUAGAUAUAGGCUCAUAUGGUCGUAACGCAGAUGGUGGGGUAUUCCAAAACUGCUCUUUGUAUCCUUAUCU
Long non-coding RNA from Trichoplusia ni (cabbage looper), 360 nucleotides. RefSeq lists it as uncharacterized. The record is from RefSeq and is a predicted model, not a curated record. Lineage: Eukaryota; Metazoa; Arthropoda; Insecta; Lepidoptera; Noctuidae. The transcript has 2 exons.